AGUGAACGCUGGCGGUAGGCCUAACACAUGCCAGUCGAACGGCAGCACAGUAAGAGCUUGCUCUUACGGGUGGCGAGUGGCGGACGGGUGAGGAAUACAUCGGAAUCUACUUUUUCGUGGGGGAUAACGUAGGGAAACUUACGCUAAUACCGCAUACGACCUACGGGUGAAAGCAGGGGAUCUUCGGACCUUGCGCGAUUGAAUGAGCCGAUGUCGGAUUAGCUAGUUGGCGGGGUAAAGGCCCACCAAGGCGACGAUCCGUAGCUGGUCUGAGAGGAUGAUCAGCCACACUGGAACUGAGACACGGUCCAGACUCCUACGGGAGGCAGCAGUGGGGAAUAUUGGACAAUGGGCGCAAGCCUGAUCCAGCCAUACCGCGUGGGUGAAGAAGGCCUUCGGGUUGUAAAGCCCUUUUGUUGGGAAAGAAAAGCAGCAGGUUAAUACCCCGCUGUUCUGACGGUACCCAAAGAAUAAGCACUGGCUAACUUCGUG
This 492-nucleotide ribosomal RNA is filed under the name uncultured bacterium. Its description in RNAcentral is "partial 16S ribosomal RNA". It matches the Rfam family "Bacterial small subunit ribosomal RNA", at positions 29 to 507 of the family's 1533-position model. The record is from RNAcentral.